RNAcentral lists this ribosomal RNA (178 nucleotides) under Clostridiales bacterium. RNAcentral's name for it is "partial 23S ribosomal RNA". It matches the Rfam family "Bacterial large subunit ribosomal RNA", at positions 2740 to 2925 of the family's 2925-position model. Lineage: Bacteria; Bacillati; Bacillota; Clostridia; Eubacteriales. The record is from RNAcentral.
GCUGGGUAGCUAUGUUUGGAUUGGAUAAACGCUGAAGGCAUCUAAGUGUGAAGCCAGCUUCAAGAUGAGAUUUCCCUCUUUUGGUAAGGGCACUGGAAGACUACCAGUUGAUAGGCCAGGCGUGUAAGCAUAGUAAUAUGUUCAGCUUACUGGUACUAACGCCCGAGGACUUGACCAC